UACGUAGGUGGCAAGCGUUGUCCGGAUUUAUUGGGUUUAAAGGGUGCGUAGGCGGUUUCUUAAGUCAGUGGUGAAAUACGGCAGCUCAACUGUCGAGGUGCCAUUGAUACUGUGGAACUUGAGUACAGACGAGGUAGGCGGAAUUGACGGUGUAGCGGUGAAAUGCUUAGAUAUCGUCAAGAACACCGAUAGCGAAGGCAGCUUACUAGACUGUAACUGACGCUGAGGCACGAAAGUGUGGGGAUCAAACAGG
This 253-nucleotide ribosomal RNA is filed under the name uncultured bacterium. RNAcentral's name for it is "partial 16S ribosomal RNA". It matches the Rfam family "Bacterial small subunit ribosomal RNA", at positions 524 to 776 of the family's 1533-position model. The record is from RNAcentral.